AUUUUCCACAAAACCUUUCAAAACAACAACAAUAGAAAUGGACUUGAAAAUAAAUAUUUCAAUUAGAAUGGAUAAGUUAAAUCUCAAUAAGCCACCAACCUGUUGGGAUCGAUGAAUUUGAGGUUAGAUUGAUCUCAGACGAGA
Molecule: ribosomal RNA, 144 nt
Filed under: Chattonella subsalsa
Lineage: Eukaryota; Raphidophyceae; Chattonellales; Chattonellaceae
Description: partial Trypanosomatid mitochondrial large subunit ribosomal RNA
Source: RNAcentral